Molecule: long non-coding RNA, 1909 nt
Organism: Myotis davidii
Lineage: Eukaryota; Metazoa; Chordata; Mammalia; Chiroptera; Vespertilionidae
Exons: 2
Source: RefSeq, a predicted model, not a curated record
UCUGCACCCUCUUCCUUUGUCCCCCUCCUCCCCCUGUUCCGCCCUCUUUUCCUCCUGCCCUCUGCCUCUUGGUCGCAGUGGAGAGCGCCAGUCCUCACCUUGAGGAGGAAAGGGCGCUGUGAGGGGAAGGAACACGCUCAGAAGAAGGUGUGAUGUGUUGUGUAUAAUUGAAAACAAAUGGGCCCCCAGUCCUGCCAGCCUUGUGGUAAUGGGGUGUUGACACUGGGGAGAAGCCCAGUGGGAGCAGUAGGACCCCAGACACCGAGGUGCAGGGUGGGAGUGGGGACGGGGCGUUGGCAUGGAUGUUGCCUCUCUGGGAGCGAGCUGUUCUCUUGUAGCUUUGCCAUCCGCGCUCCCUGGAAGAAGAGCUUCCCAGUCAGCCCCACGUAGCCCUGCUCAGCCUGGCUGCCCUCACUCACCCGGGAGGCUGCAGCGUUCAAGGGGAGGGUUUGGAGCCACAUCAUCUGGGUUCAAAUCCCAUCUCUGCCGUGUACCAGCCACACCAGCCCUCGGACUUUGGCUCUGUGACUUAACUCUGUGUUGCCCAGAGUCCUCCCGGGUAAAUCUGGGGCCCAGUGCCUCCCUGGAGGCUAAGUGCUUAGAAGCCACCUGGCAGCUGCUAAAUGGGAAAGGAGACCUUUCCACGCAGUGGUCUCCGUGUCCCUUUAUAACAUAAGCCAGGGGGCCUUUUAGACGGUCAGGUGACCGAUGGUCCUGACUGUCCCACCCCCACCCACCAGGGCUGUCCCCCGCGCUACCACCACGGAGGGCGCGGCUCGGUGGGACUGGCCGGCUCACCAUCAGCGUGCCCUUGGGAAGGAACUGUCCCUGAUUUGUUACAUUGUAUUCCCUAGGUCAGCGGAGGAGCCGGACUCAUUGCACCGUGGUGGCUGCAAGUUCCGGAAAGCUUAUCUCAACGUACCUCCCGGGACGGAGUGCUCGCCUUCCCCGGAACGAGAUUCCAUAGCCGGAGUGGAGUGACUGCGUCUAAAGCUAAUCCUGAGCGCUUCGCUUUGCACCGCAGUGUCCCCGAGGAGGAGACAGGCCGCCUCGCUGGCAUGGAGAAUGAGUGGUGGGCCCUUCGGCUGCGUUUCUCACCCCUUCUGACGUGAAGACACAGAGAGAAGACCGCCUUCCACAGCCCAGGAAUUGGCUGUCACCACACCACAUGCAGAAUCUGCAGGACCCUUGGUCUCGGACGUCCCAGCCCCCAGAACUAUGAGAAAUAAACUCUUGCUCUUUCUAAGCCACCCAGUGUAUGGUAUUUUGUUAUAUCAGCCCAAACGGAGUAAGACAGUGUCCAUCAGCAACCCCAGUCCUGCCAGGGGGAAUCGGAUCCAAGGAUAGGGGCCCGGUGGGCAAGAACCCUGAAGUUUCCUAUCGCCCCAAUUACAGUCACACACACACACACACACACACACACACACACACACACACAACUGGUAGGCACUGAGUUGCAAAUUUGAAUGAAAUAUCUUCUUCGAAGGUUCCCUCUGAGUUCCUGCCACUGGCUCACGAAGUCUUCUGAGCAAUGAUCAGUCCUGCCCCGUCCCAAGGAACGACACAGCCUUUGCCCUUGGCAUCACUUCUUAUGGUGGUUGGAGAUGGUGCCUCUCUUCUGAGUUGGCGGCCAGGCUGCCAGCGCCAAGGAUGAGGGACUCGCUCUGUGCACCGAUCCUUCUGCUUCACGACAAGAAGGGUCUGUAGCCUGUGACCCAUGAUGGCGUCCCCAGCCACUGACAGGCAUGCCGCUUGCUCAUUCCGCUGUUUGCCCCAGGUCAGUAGUCACCUGCAUGUAAAGUUAGUUCUGGGGAUGGAUAGAGCGCACUGCUUAAAGCAUGUAUGGGUUGGUGCGUUGUAGGAGUUACUUGCAAAAUGACUCCAAUAAAAUGAUUUGGGUAAAAAGCAA